UCCUCACCCAGCAUCCAUAAAAGCAUGCUGCACCUUUGGCACAGCGCGACUUCCCUGGCCCUCCCCCUGCGGACCAGUGAACCUCGCCCGAGGGCUCAAUAAAGAAGAUUUUUGCCCUCUUUUUCUCACCUCUCAGCCUUAUUGAUCCAUGGUGCCCUUCCAUUGCCUUUCAUUGGUGCCGAAACCCGGGAGGGGACACCUCCUAAGCCCCCCCAGAGGCUCAGGGGGACUCCCCUCCUGGUCGGAUCAGUCCUCUCCCUCAGUCAGGUCAGGCUUCUCCUCCACGGCCAUCUGUCCAUUUCGUCCGGUUACUUGCUGCCAGGUCGCAGUUGCUGCAGCUACUCCAGUCCAAUUCGGCCGACGCUAGAUCAACUGAGAUGCAAAACCCAUGUUCACAUCAUGAGUGAGUCUUCUAACUCGGACAAUGCAAUCAACAAAUUCUAAGACCAAAUUCCGGUGGCACUGGCUCCAAAGAAAUUUUCUGCUGAUUUUCUUGAUUGUGAUAUACCUCAGCACUUGACUUGCUGAAUAAGACAACUGUGGCAAUUAUGACUACUGACAAGAAUAUUGUGUAAAUGAUCAAGAAUAACUUGUUAUAUAUCUAGACCAGAUAUAUAUGAAAGAGAAAAUUGACAAAGGUGGAGCAAGUAUCCCAGCUAUUAAUGUGUAA
RNAcentral lists this long non-coding RNA (670 nucleotides) under Homo sapiens (human). RNAcentral's name for it is "long intergenic non-protein coding RNA 1287". The record is from RNAcentral. Lineage: Eukaryota; Metazoa; Chordata; Mammalia; Primates; Hominidae.